CCUACGGGAGGCUGCAGUGAGGAAUAUUGGUCAAUGGCCGUAAGGCUGAACCAGCCAAGUCGCGUGAAGGAAGAAGGAUCUAUGGUUUGUAAACUUCUUUUAUAGGGGAAUAAAGGUAUCCACGUGUGGAUAUUUGCAUGUACCCUAUGAAUAAGCAUCGGCUAACUCCGUGCCAGCAGCCGCGGUAAUACGGAGGAUGCGAGCGUUAUCCGGAUUUAUUGGGUUUAAAGGGUGCGUAGGUUGUUUUUUAAGUCAGCGGUGAAAGUUUGUGGCUCAACCAUAAAAUUGCCGUUGAUACUGGAAGACGUGAGUGUGUUUGAGGUAGGCGGAAUGCGUGGUGUAGCGGUGAAAUGCAUAGAUAUCACGCAGAACUCCGAUUGCGAAGGCAGCUUACUAAGCCAUAACUGACACUGAAGCACGAAAGCGUGGGGAUCAAACAGGAUUAGAUACCCCUGUAGUC
This 460-nucleotide ribosomal RNA is filed under the name uncultured bacterium. RNAcentral describes it as "partial 16S ribosomal RNA". It matches the Rfam family "Bacterial small subunit ribosomal RNA", at positions 338 to 795 of the family's 1533-position model. The record is from RNAcentral.